GAUCAUGGCUCAGGAUGAACGCUAGCUACAGGCUUAACACAUGCAAGUCGAGGGGCAGCAUGAUCGAAGCUUGCUUUGAUUGAUGGCGACCGGCGCACGGGUGAGUAACGCGUAUCCAACCUUCCCUAUAGUAGAGGAUAGCCCGGCGAAAGUCGGAUUAAUACUCUAUGUUUUCCAAUGCAGACAUCUAAGUUGGAACAAAGGUUUACCGCUAUAGGAUGGGGAUGCGUCUGAUUAGGUAGUCGGCGGGGUAACGGCCCACCGAGCCAACGAUCAGUAGGGGUUCUGAGAGGAAGGUCCCCCACAUUGGAACUGAGACACGGUCCAAACUCCUACGGGAGGCAGCAGUGAGGAAUAUUGGUCAAUGGGCGAGAGCCUGAACCAGCCAAAGUAGCGUGCAGGAUGACGGCCCUAUGGGUUGUAAACUGCUUUUAUACGGGGAUAAAGUGAGGGACGUGUCCCUUUUUGUAGGUACCGUAUGAAUAAGGACCGGCUAAUUCCGUGCCAGCCGCCGC
Molecule: ribosomal RNA, 515 nt
Filed under: uncultured bacterium
Lineage: Bacteria
Description: bacterial SSU rRNA
Rfam family: Bacterial small subunit ribosomal RNA
Source: RNAcentral